CCUACGGGUGGCUGCAGUGGGGAAUAUUGGACAAUGGGCGAAAGCCUGAUCCAGCAAUGCCGCGUGAGUGAUGAAGGCCUUAGGGUUGUAAAGCUCUUUUACCCGGGAUGAUAAUGACAGUACCGGGAGAAUAAGCUCCGGCUAACUUCGUGCCAGCAGCCGCGGUAAUACGAGGGGAGCUAGCGUUAUUCGGAAUUACUGGGCGUAAAGCGCACGUAGGCGGCUUUGUAAGUAAGAGGUGAAAGCCCAGAGCUCAACUCUGGAAUUGCCUUUUAGACUGCAUCGCUUGAAUCCAGGAGAGGUGAGUGGAAUUCCGAGUGUAGAGGUGAAAUUCGUAGAUAUUCGGAAGAACACCAGUGGCGAAGGCGGCUCACUGGACUGGUAUUGACGCUGAGGUGCGAAAGCGUGGGGAGCAAACAGGAUUAGAUACCCGAGUAGUC
This 440-nucleotide ribosomal RNA is filed under the name uncultured bacterium. RNAcentral describes it as "partial 16S ribosomal RNA". It matches the Rfam family "Bacterial small subunit ribosomal RNA", at positions 338 to 795 of the family's 1533-position model. The record is from RNAcentral.